UCGAGAAUCUUCCGCAAUGGACGAAAGUCUGACGGAGCGACGCCGCGUGCGGGAUGAAGGCCCUCGGGUUGUAAACCGCUGUCAGUGGGGUGGAAAUGCAUUGGGGUUCUCCCCAGUGUUUGACCUAACCGCAGAGGAAGUCCGGGCUAAGUACGUGCCAGCAGCCGCGGUAACACGUACCGGACGAACGUUAUUCGGAAUCACUGGGCUUAAAGAGUACGUAGGCGGCUUUGUAGGUGAGGUGUGAAAGCCCACGGCCUAACCGUGGAAUUGCGCUUCAAACCACAAAGCUUGAGGGAGACAGGGGUGAGCGGAACAGAUGGUGGAGCGGUGAAAUGCGUUGAUAUCAUCUGGAACACCGGUGGCGAAGGCGGCUCACUGGGUCUCUUCUGACGCUGAGGUACGAAAGCUAGGGUAGCGAACGGGAUUAGAUACCCCCGUAGUCC
Molecule: ribosomal RNA, 446 nt
Filed under: uncultured prokaryote
Description: bacterial SSU rRNA
Rfam family: Bacterial small subunit ribosomal RNA
Source: RNAcentral